GACGAACGCUGGCGGCGUGCCUAACACAUGCAAGUCGAACGGAGUUAAGACUUCGGUUUUAACUUAGUGGCGAACGGGUGAGUAACGCGUGAGAAACCUGCCUUUCAGUGGGGGGCAACAGUUGGAAACGACUGCUAAUACCGCAUAAAGUAUUUUGACCGCAUGGUCGAAAUACCAAAGCUUAAUGUGCUGAAAGAUGGUCUCGCGUCUGAUUAGCUAGUUGGUAAGGUAAUGGCUUACCAAGGCAACGAUCAGUAGCCGGCCUGAGAGGGUGAACGGCCACAUUGGGACUGAGACACGGCCCAA
Molecule: ribosomal RNA, 306 nt
Filed under: uncultured bacterium
Lineage: Bacteria
Description: bacterial SSU rRNA
Rfam family: Bacterial small subunit ribosomal RNA
Source: RNAcentral